AGUUGCUGAAACCCUUUGUCUCUGGCUACCUUUAACUAUGAUUUCACCUCCCAGUCAAUACACCGUGGUAGCGUCCUACGGUUAGACUAUCUUGCUUCUGGUGUAAGAAAUUCCCAUGGUAGACGGGCGGUGUGUGGCGCUCCUGGGAACGCAUUCACUGCGGCAUGAUAUGAUACUAAAGGACUCCGACUUUCAUGCGGAGUCGAGCUGCGACUUAUCUGACUACGAUUCUGGCUUUUUGAGAUUAGCAUCCUAUCGCUAGGUAGCAACCUUUUGUACCGACCAUUGCAGCACGUGUGUAGCCCUUGUAAGGGUUAUGAUGACUUGACGUCGUCUCCGCUUCCUCUCCAGUUUGUCACUGGCAGCAUCCUUAAAGUUCCCACCUCGAAGUGCCGGCAAAAUAAGGAGGGCAAGCCGCUUCGUUGCGGACUUAACCCAACAUCUACGAUGCUGAUGACAGCCAUGCAGCACCUGUAUGUAAGCUCCUGAAGGUACCCAAUCCAUCUCGAGUUUCUACUAUGUCAAGACCAGGUAAAUUUAAUGGGACUAGACAUAUCAAUCCCGCUUCGCGCUCCUUGAGUUUUGUCCGACGCUCAGGCGGCGACUCACCGCGUUAGUUCGCUACCAGUUCGAAGGUUCAACAGCUAGCUGACAUCGCUAGGGCGUGGACUCGGUAUCAAUCCUGUUUGCCCCCACAUUGUAUGAGAGCACGCACCAAGUGUUGUUCUGCAUUUAGCUGCCAGCCGUAGUUCUCCCAUAUCUACGCAUUUCACUGCUACACGCGGAUUCCACUCCUCUGACACACCUAGCUCGGUAGUUAAAAAUGUAGUUCCAAAGUUUGAUUAUUUUCGAAAUGUAGUUGCGCACGCUUUACGCCUGUAUUCUGAUUAACGCUUGCACCCUACGUAAUACCCCGCAACUGACGGCAUCAAGAAUGCUAAUCGGCUAACUACGCCAGCAGGCGGUAAUACGUAGGGUGCAAGCGUUAAUCGGAAUUACUGGGCGUAAAGCGUGCGUGGGCGGUUUCGGAAAGAAAAAGAUGUGAAAUCCCAGAGCUUAACUUUGGAACUGCAUUUUUUUAACUACCGAGCUAGAGUGUGUCAGAGGAGGUGGAAUUCUCGCGUAGCAGUGAAAUGCGUAGAUAUGCGGAGGAACACCGAUGGCGAAGGCAGCCUCCUGGGAUAACACUGACGCUCAUGCACGAAAGCGUGGGGAGCAAACAGGAUUUCAGAUACCCUGGUAGUCCACGCCCUAAACGAUGUCAACUAGCUGUUGGGGCCUGGCCUUGCAGCGCAGCUAACGGCGUGAAGUUGACCGCCUGGGGAGUACGGUCGCAAGAUUAAAACUCAAAGGAAUUGACGGGACCCGCACAAGCGGUGGAUGAUGUGGAUUAAUUCGAUGCAACGCGAAAACCUUACCUACUCCUUUGACAUGUCUGGAAUCCCGAAGAGAUUUGGGAGUGCUCGCAAGAGAACCGGAACACAGGUGCUGCAUGGCUGUCACCAGCUCGUGUCGAGAUGCUGGGUUAAGUCCCGCAACGAGCGCAACCCUUGUCAUUAGCUGCUACGAAAGGGCACUCUAAUGAGACUGCCGGUGACAAACCGGAGGAAGGUGGGGAUGACGUCGUCCUCAUGGCCCUUAUGGGUAGGGCUUCACACGUCAUACAAUGGUCGGGACAGAGGGUCGCCAACCCGCGAGUGGGGAGCCAAUCCCAGAAACCCGAUCAGUCCGGAUCGCAGUCUGCAACCCGGACUGCGUGAAGUCGGAAUCGCUAGUAAUCGCGGACCAGCAUGUCGCGUGAAUACGUUCCCGGGUCUUGUACACACUGCCCGUCACACCAUGGGAGUGGGUUUUACCAGAAGUAGUUAGCCUAACCGUAAGGAGGGCGAUUACCACGGUAGGAUUCAUGACUGGGGUGAAGUCGUAACAAGGUAG
RNAcentral lists this unclassified non-coding RNA (1935 nucleotides) under uncultured Bordetella sp. RNAcentral describes it as "partial 16S-23S ribosomal RNA intergenic spacer". The stretch from base 843 to 1935 matches the Rfam family "Bacterial small subunit ribosomal RNA". The record is from RNAcentral. Lineage: Bacteria; Pseudomonadati; Pseudomonadota; Betaproteobacteria; Burkholderiales; Alcaligenaceae.